Molecule: ribosomal RNA, 532 nt
Filed under: uncultured bacterium
Lineage: Bacteria
Description: bacterial SSU rRNA
Rfam family: Bacterial small subunit ribosomal RNA
Source: RNAcentral
ACUCAAUAGAUACCCAGGUAGUCCACGCCCUAAACGAUGCAUAUUUGGUGUGGGCAGUUCAUUCUGUCCGUGCCGGAGCUAACGCGUUAAAUAUGCCGCCUGGGGAGUACAGUCGCAAGGCUGAAACUCAAAGGAAUUGACGGGGGCCCGCACAAGCGGUGGAGCAUGUGGUUCAAUUCGACGCAACGCGAAGAACCUUACCUGGGCUCGAACGGCUGGUCAACGGCGGUGGAAACACUGUUACCCCGCAAGGGGGUCCAGUCGAGGUGCUGCAUGGCUGUCGUCAGCUCGUGUCGUGAGAUGUUGGGUUAAGUCCCGCAACGAGCGCAACCCUUGUCCUGUGUUGCCAUGCCGAAAGGCGGAACUCGCAGGAGACCGCCAGCGAUAAGCUGGAGGAAGGUGGGGAUGACGUCAAGUCCUCAUGGCCUUUAUGUCCAGGGCUACACACGUGCUACAAUGGACGGUACAAUACGUCGCUAACCCGCGAGGGGAGCCAAUCGCAAAAAACCGUUCUCAGUUCGGAUUGCAGGCU